RNAcentral lists this ribosomal RNA (496 nucleotides) under uncultured bacterium. RNAcentral's name for it is "partial 16S ribosomal RNA". It matches the Rfam family "Bacterial small subunit ribosomal RNA", at positions 28 to 507 of the family's 1533-position model. The record is from RNAcentral.
GAUGAACGCUGGCGGCGUGCCUAAUACAUGCAAGUCGAGCGAACAGAUGAGGAGCUUGCUCCUCUGACGUUAGCGGCGGACGGGUGAGUAACACGUGGAUAACCUACCUAUAAGACUGGGAUAACUUCGGGAAACCGGAGCUAAUACCGGAUAAUAUAUUGAACCGAAUGGUUAAUUGGGAAAGGACGGUUUUGCGUGAAUUAAUGGUGGGUUCGCGCCGCAUUAGCUAGUUGGGAAGGUAAAGGGUUACCAAGGGAAAGAUGCGUAGCCGACCUGAGAGGGUGAUCGGCCACACUGGAACUGAGACACGGUCCAGACUCCUACGGGAGGCAGCAGUAGGGAAUCUUCCGCAAUGGGCGAAAGCUUGACGGAGCAACGCCGCGUGAGUGAUGAAGGUCUUCGGAUCGUAAAACUCUGUUAUUAGGGAAGAACAAAUGUGUAAGUAACUAUGCACGUCUUGACGGUACCUAGUCAGAAAGCCACGGCUAACUACGUG